UACGUAGGGGGCAAGCGUUAUCCGGAAUCACUGGGCGUAAAGGGUGCGUAGGCGGCUCAUCAAGUCAGGGGUGAAAGGCAUUGGCUCAACCAAUGUAAGCCUUUGAAACUGAAGAGCUUGAGUGCAGGAGAGGUAAGUGGAAUUCCUAGUGUAGAGGUGAAAUUCGUAGAUCUUAGGAGGAACACCAGUGGCGAAGGCGACUUACUGGACUGUAACUGACGCUGAGGCACGAAAGCGUGUGUAGCGAACAGG
This 252-nucleotide ribosomal RNA is filed under the name uncultured bacterium. RNAcentral's name for it is "partial 16S ribosomal RNA". It matches the Rfam family "Bacterial small subunit ribosomal RNA", at positions 524 to 776 of the family's 1533-position model. The record is from RNAcentral.